GAUGAACGCUAGCGACAGGCUUAACACAUGCAAGUCGAGGGGCAGCAUAAAAGUAGCAAUACUUUGGUGGCGACCGGCGCACGGGUGAGUAACGCGUAUGCAACCUACCUAUCAGAGGGGGAUAACCCGGCGAAAGUCGGACUAAUACCGCAUAAAACAGGGGCACCGCAUGGUGAUAUUUGUUAAAAAUUUAUUGCUGAUAGAUGGGCAUGCGUUCCAUUAGGUAGUUGGAGAGGUAACGGCUCACCAAGCCAACGAUGGAUAGGGGAACUGAGAGGUUGGUCCCCCACACUGGUACUGAGACACGGACCAGACUCCUACGGGAGGCAGCAGUGAGGAAUAUUGGUCAAUGGGCGAGAGCCUGAACCAGCCAAGUCGCGUGAAGGAAGAAGGAUCUAUGGUUCGUAAACUUCUUUUGCAGGGGAAUAAAGUGCAGGACGUGUCCUGUUUUGUAUGUACCCUGAGAAUAAGGAUCGGCUAACUCCGUCCAGCAGCCGCGGUAAAACG
Molecule: ribosomal RNA, 507 nt
Filed under: uncultured bacterium
Lineage: Bacteria
Description: bacterial SSU rRNA
Rfam family: Bacterial small subunit ribosomal RNA
Source: RNAcentral